Molecule: ribosomal RNA, 275 nt
Filed under: uncultured Ohtaekwangia sp.
Lineage: Bacteria; Pseudomonadati; Bacteroidota; Cytophagia; Cytophagales; Fulvivirgaceae
Description: partial 16S ribosomal RNA
Rfam family: Bacterial small subunit ribosomal RNA
Source: RNAcentral
CCUACGGGUGGCUGCAGUAGGGAAUAUUGGUCAAUGGAUGCAAGUCUGAACCAGCCAUGCCGCGUGCAGGAAGAAGGCCCUAUGGGUUGUAAACUGCUUUUGCCAGGGGAUAAAACGGGAGUGCGCUCCUAAUUGAAGGUACCUGGUGAAUAAGCCACGGCUAACUACGUGCCAGCAGCCGCGGUAAUACGUAGGUGGCAAGCGUUGUCCGGAUUUAUUGGGUUUAAAGGGUGCGUAGGCGGCUCCAUAAGUCAGUGCUGAAAUAUCCCGGCUUA